AUUGAACGCUGGCGGCAGGCCUAACACAUGCAAGUCGAGCGGAUGAAGGGAGCUUGCUCCUGGAUUCAGCGGCGGACGGGUGAGUAAUGCCUAGGAAUCUGCCUGGUAGUAGGGGAUAACGUCCGGAAACGGGCGCUAAUACCGCAUACGUCCUGAGGGAGAAAGUGGGGGAUCUUCGGACCUCACGCUAUCAGAUGAGCCUAGGUCGGAUUAGCUAGUUGGUGGGGUAAAGGCCUACCAAGGCGACGAUCCGUAACUGGUCUGAGAGGAUGAUCAGUCACACUGGAACUGAGACACGGUCCAGACUCCUACGGGAGGCAGCAGUGGGGAAUAUUGGACAAUGGGCGAAAGCCUGAUCCAGACAUGCCGCGUGUGUGAAGAAGGUCUUCGGAUUGUAAAGCACUUUAAGUUGGGAGGAAGGGCAGUAAGUUAAUACCUUGCUGUUUUGACGUUACCAACAGAAUAAGCACCGGCUAACUUCGUG
RNAcentral lists this ribosomal RNA (484 nucleotides) under uncultured bacterium. RNAcentral's name for it is "partial 16S ribosomal RNA". It matches the Rfam family "Bacterial small subunit ribosomal RNA", at positions 30 to 507 of the family's 1533-position model. The record is from RNAcentral.